AGAGCGAACGCUGGCGGCAUGCUUAACACAUGCAAGUCGCACGGGCAGCAAUGUCAGUGGCGGACGGGUGAGUAACGCGUAGGUAUCUAUCCAUGGGUGGGGGAUAACGCCGGGAAACUGGUGCUAAUACCGCAUGACACCCGAGGGUCAAAGGCGCAAGUCGCCUGUGGAGGAGCCUUCGUCCGAUUAGCUAGUUGGUGGGGUAAAGGCCUACCAAGGCGACGAUCGGUAGCUGGUCUGAGAGGAUGAUCAGCCACAUUGGGACUGAGACACGGCCCAAACUCCUACGGGAGGCAGCAGUGGGGAAUAUUGGACAAUGGGCGCAAGCCUGAUCCAGCAAUGCCGCGUGGAUGAAGAAGGUUUUCGGAUUGUAAAGUCCUUUCGGCGGGGACGAUGAUGACGGUACCGCAGAAGAAGCCCGGCUAACUCGCGCCAGCAGCCGC
RNAcentral lists this ribosomal RNA (443 nucleotides) under uncultured bacterium. RNAcentral describes it as "SSU rRNA". It matches the Rfam family "Bacterial small subunit ribosomal RNA", at positions 26 to 518 of the family's 1533-position model. The record is from RNAcentral.